AGGAACCGAACAAACUUGUCACUGAGGGGGGAACUAGACUGGAACCUAGACACAAGACUACUAAGGUUUGGAUGAGCUAUAAGGUUGGACUUUUAGAAGAUAAAACAUUUUUUGUAGAAUGCCUUCAUUCUUCUCCUUCUCCUUGGCAAGCUCAACUCUAAGUCCAUUUCUUUCUUCCUCCAAUUCUGCCACCCUGGCCUUAAGUCUAGCAAUUUAAGCAUCCUUCAGUCAGCCUCCUUAACUAGGGACCUUACUUUGCUGUUGACUGGAGUUUCGCUGAUGAACCAGGUUUAGCAGAGACAGUGCUACGCAGAUAGUCAAAGCUUAGAAGAGUUUUGAUGCCAAAGUUUUCCUUUCUAGAUGUCAUCUCCCAAUUCUUCAAGGGAACAUGUCGACAUUGAAGCACAGUAGCCAGAAUAAAUCCAUAGGGGAUGGCAUGGGCCUUAGAACCAUUGAUUACCCUUUCCAACAUGUGUACCAUGAACACAACCAGUUGAUCGGUU
RNAcentral lists this long non-coding RNA (503 nucleotides) under Nicotiana benthamiana. RNAcentral describes it as "long non-coding RNA (NBEN_LNC018844)". The record is from RNAcentral. Lineage: Eukaryota; Viridiplantae; Streptophyta; Magnoliopsida; Solanales; Solanaceae.